AAUGAUAACAAUGAUCAUUGUUACAUUAUAGUCAUGGAAUAUUAGUGUCUGAAGUUUAAAGGAACUUCUGCAUGCUGUCCUUUAUCUCAAAGUAGGGAGCCCCUAGGGAUACAGGGACACUUUAUGGGACUACAUUUGAAAGAACCAGGAGUGGAUACAGAUGAUGCCUCAAGGAAGGGGCCUGUUUUGCUCACGGGGUCUCCGAAGUCCAGUAGUUUUGCCAGAGACCAGCCCUCAGCGAUCAGGGCACAAAGCCAGUCCAGGACGGCAGAAGCUGUUCUCUGAUUGUGGGACAUCUCCCUAGGGAAGGAGCAGUUUCACACCCAUGUGCUUUAGAAACUGAGGCCCACAAAAUGUAAGCUCCAAACUCCAUCAAACAGGUCUCUGUCUAGAACGCAGUGCUUAAAACAUGAAUAGACCCCAAAUAAACACUCAGGUACAUCUUGCUGGAUGAGCAAGGAGACAUUGACUUUAAAAUAAGGAACUAGACAAGGAUGGAUGCCAUUGCCUUUAUUUUCAUUAUUAUUUUGGAGCUUCUAUACAACACAAGAAGACAAGAAAAUAAAGUCAUGAAGUUGAAAAAAGUCAAAUAUAUCAUCACUUUCAGAUGAUGGGAUUAUAUAUAAAAUCAAAGUAACAU
Non-coding RNA from Macaca mulatta (Rhesus monkey), 640 nucleotides. The record is from RefSeq and is a predicted model, not a curated record. Lineage: Eukaryota; Metazoa; Chordata; Mammalia; Primates; Cercopithecidae.